RNAcentral lists this ribosomal RNA (440 nucleotides) under uncultured bacterium. RNAcentral describes it as "partial 16S ribosomal RNA". It matches the Rfam family "Bacterial small subunit ribosomal RNA", at positions 338 to 795 of the family's 1533-position model. The record is from RNAcentral.
CCUACGGGUGGCAGCAGUGGGGGAUAUUGCACAAUGGGGGGAACCCUGAUGCAGCGACGCCGCGUGGGUGAAGGAGUGCUUCGGCAUGUAAAGCCCUAUCGGCAGGGAAGAAGCAAGACGGUACCUGACUAAGAAGCCCCGGCUAACUACGUGCCAGCAGCCGCGGUAAUACGUAGGGGGCGAGCGUUAUCCGGAUUCACUGGGUGUAAAGGGUGCGUAGGCGGAUUUUUAAGUCAGCGGUAAAAUGUCCGGGCUCAACCCGGGCCGGCCGUUGAAACUGGGGAUCUUGAGUGGGCGAGAAGUAUGCGGAAUGCGUGGUGUAGCGGUGAAAUGCAUAGAUAUCACGCAGAACUCCGAUUGCGAAGGCAGCAUACCGGCGCCCGACUGACGCUGAGGCACGAAAGCGUGGGGAUCGAACAGGAUUAGAUACCCCUGUAGUC